CCCCUGUUUACUUGAUAAGAUUAAGCUGUUGUCUCUAGGUUGGUUGAAAGCUAAAAAAGCUACCUUUGUUUUUGGGACUCAGCAGUGGUGGUCAAGCCCUCUUGUUUGUUUGGGUAUUGGCUAAGGUUUUUCUGUUGUGUUUUGUAUGUAAUCGUUGUAACUCUUGGUUUCUGAGGUAGUCUCUAAAGGCACACCUUGUGC
Molecule: long non-coding RNA, 201 nt
Filed under: Medicago truncatula (barrel medic)
Lineage: Eukaryota; Viridiplantae; Streptophyta; Magnoliopsida; Fabales; Fabaceae
Description: long non-coding RNA (MTRU_LNC003561)
Source: RNAcentral